UCAAGAUAAGAUUUCCCACCGCAAGGGUAAGACCCCAGAAAGACUAUCUGGCUGAUAGGUCGAAGGUGUAAGUGCAGCAAUGUAUUUAGCUUAUCGAUACUAAUAGGUCGAGGACUUGACCAA
Molecule: ribosomal RNA, 123 nt
Filed under: Clostridioides difficile
Lineage: Bacteria; Bacillati; Bacillota; Clostridia; Peptostreptococcales; Peptostreptococcaceae
Description: partial 23S ribosomal RNA
Rfam family: Bacterial large subunit ribosomal RNA
Source: RNAcentral